CCUGUUUGUUCACCUUCCUUGGAGACAUUCGGGGUCUUCUUUGGAUCCCAUUUCUGUUGCCAGGACAUGGCAGAAGUUCAGAAACAGUAGAAGUAAAACCAACCCAUCACCAAAGUAGUAAUUAGUAAAAUUACUACUAAAGUGUCUCGUAUACACACCGGGAGCACUCAAACCAAAACGUGGAAUGAGGCUCAGAGGAAUGUUUGUUAUCAAGCGGCUUAUAUAGUGAGAAAGCAGCAGCUGUUUAUUCACAGUCUUUGGUUAUAUUAGAAUUUUCUUAAAUGGUAGGGAAUUGGUCAGUGUGUUACCGCCUACCAACUUUGGGAACUGUUCAAGUUUUGCUUAUGAAAAUCAUAAGCUGAGUAUAUCUCAACAUAAACAUGUUUUCAUUUAUCUUCCUAGGUUCAUACAACUGGAAUUGUUGGGUUGUAUGGUAACGAUUUUUAAGAAACUACUAAACUUAUCCACAGGGGCUGUACUAUAGCAUAUUCCCAUCUGCACAGUAUGAGGUUUUUGGUUUCUUUUCAUCCUUUCUAACACUGUAUGUCUUUUUCUUUGCUUAGAGCCAUCUUACUGGGUGUGAAGUGGUGCCUUCUUGUGGUUAAAUCCGUGUAGUUUUUCCUAAGGGAAAUGAUUGCUCUCUAGUGGUGCAUUCUGCACAUUACAAUUGGAAUAAGGGCACUAAUGAGAAGCCUAAAGCUAAAACUUGUUAAAACUUACAUUCAUUUCAUGUUGUUCCUGCAUCGCUUAGCACACUGAGUGCAAUUUGAGGCCCAAGUUCAAAAUGUUUUCCUCAUUACCACUAAGAAUAAUCCUCAGGAGCUGGCUGUUCGCUAUGGUUUUUACUUAAUCCCCAGAGGUACGGUAUAGUCAAAACUCUACGCUUUUGUGUUUCAGAUCUCCUCCACUCUAUGAGGCAGAUCUCUCAGUGUAUGGCUUUACACCUGUGAGCGGCUAAUGCCUAUGAAUAAGGGGAGGAAGAAGACAGAGACAGUUGUGUGGACUCCCACCUACCAUAUCCUUUCAAGCCAGAGCCAGAGAAGUGAGGAAAGAGUACCAGACAUUCAGGUGACUUGCACAAGGUAGAGGAUGGUUAUUGCUUUUGGCUGCUGGUCGUUUUUCCUAGACACUGCAUUAUGAAAGUGAGAAGCGUCCUGCUGGGCCAAGGCAUUCAGCCUUCAAAGUCAUUGGUUUCUGAGCUAAAGUUUUAUUUGGUCCUACUGUUCUCCAACUUGGAGGGCCUUGGGGGCGGCGGUAAUUCAUGCUGUUGCCUGUUUCAGUUAUUUCAUAUUUGCUGGGGUUUUAACCUUUAAAGCUUACUUUGCAUUGUUCAUGACUUUAGAACUUUUGUUUUAUGCUAGUUUCUUUAAAGGUUUAUCACUAAA
This is a long non-coding RNA of Callorhinus ursinus (northern fur seal), 1385 nucleotides long. RefSeq lists it as uncharacterized. The record is from RefSeq and is a predicted model, not a curated record. NCBI's taxonomy places the organism in Eukaryota, Metazoa, Chordata, Mammalia, Carnivora, Otariidae.